This 468-nucleotide ribosomal RNA is filed under the name uncultured bacterium. Its description in RNAcentral is "partial 16S ribosomal RNA". It matches the Rfam family "Bacterial small subunit ribosomal RNA", at positions 28 to 507 of the family's 1533-position model. The record is from RNAcentral.
GACGAACGCUGGCGGCGUGCUUAACACAUGCAAGUCGAACGGAAAGGCCCUGCUUUUGUGGGGUGCUCGAGUGGCGAACGGGUGAGUAACACGUGAGUAACCUGCCCUUGACUUUGGGAUAACUUCAGGAAACUGGGGCUAAUACCGGAUAGGAGCUCCUGCUGCAUGGUGGGGGUUGGAAAGUUUCGGCGGUUGGGGAUGGACUCGCGGCUUAUCAGCUUGUUGGUGGGGUAGUGGCUUACCAAGGCUUUGACGGGUAGCCGGCCUGAGAGGGUGACCGGCCACAUUGGGACUGAGAUACGGCCCAGACUCCUACGGGAGGCAGCAGUGGGGAAAAUUGCACAAUGGGCGGAAGCCUGAUGCAGCAACGCCGCGUGCGGGAUGACGGCCUUCGGGUUGUAAACCGCUUUCGCCUGUGACGAAGCGUGAGUGACGGUAAUGGGUAAAGAAGCACCGGCUAACUACGUG